GGGAGGUGCUGGUAGGGGGGUGUUAUAACCUUCAGGGCACAACCAUCAUGAUUCAAGAUAGCGUCUCCAUGCCUGAAAGACCUGGUACAGCUUAUGCAAAAACACUUCAUCCUGCACAGUGUUUAGUUGAGGAUGGAACAAAAAGUCAAUAUGAGAGCAGAGAAGCAAAGCUAUGUUCUGCAAGUCCUAAUUAAUCAAUCAACUGGGACACAGUGAUUUCUAAAACAUGCAAGAAAACAAAGAGGCCCAGCAUAGUGGCUCACACCUGUAAUCCCAGUACUUUAGGAGGCCAAAGCAGGAGGAUUGCUUGAGGUCAGGAGUUCAAGAUCAGCCUAGGCAACAGAGCAGGAUCCUGUCU
RNAcentral lists this long non-coding RNA (358 nucleotides) under Homo sapiens (human). Its description in RNAcentral is "HSALNT0047956". The record is from RNAcentral. Lineage: Eukaryota; Metazoa; Chordata; Mammalia; Primates; Hominidae.